This 428-nucleotide long non-coding RNA is filed under the name Cricetulus griseus (Chinese hamster). RNAcentral describes it as "lncRNA (ENSCGRG00015035585.1)". The record is from RNAcentral. Lineage: Eukaryota; Metazoa; Chordata; Mammalia; Rodentia; Cricetidae.
GACUGGGUCUCUCACCAGCCUGGGCCUUGCCAAUUAGACUAGGCCAGCCAGGCUUCAAGCUCCAGGGAUCUAUCUGCUUCUGCCUCCUCCACACUGGGAUCAUAAGCACAUGCCACCACAUCUAGUCUUUCACAUGUAUUCUAGGGUUCAAACCUGGUGGCCCUCAUGUUUGCACGGAGCCCUUGUCGGUCAGAUAAGGGAGUUGGAUCCCCUGAAAUUGGAUUUAUAGGGAAUUGUGAGCUGCCAUAGAUGCUGAGCCAGGUGCCAUCAUGUAGCAGGCAAAGGAGUUGCAGUUUUGGGUGCCAGAGCUCUGAAGAGAGGUCUUACAAGCAAAAGAAAAUCCAAUGUUGAUACAUGCAUUCUCUCUCGAGGUUCUGGGGUGGGAUCUGGGCCUUCUCAUUCCAGGUCCAGGGCCACCUGUAUUCCUU